CUGAGCCCAGGACAGGCAAGCCCCAAGCUUGCCCACUGUGGGCAGAGGGAUCCUCCUCCCAUCAUCACUGGCACCAAGCAAGCUCAUCUCAGCUAUGCCUGCAAGCUGCAUCUCUUCAGAGGCUCUGUGGAUUGGCUGGGAAAUGCAUUGAUUUCUUUCUUUCCAGGGAGCAGCCUUGCAAAGAAGAGGAAUCAAACCAGAUGGGAAGUAUUCCCUGUUUCAUCAAUCCCAUGAUGGCUUUUUAAAGCUUCUUUUCUGCUCUCUCUUGGAAGGGAGCUCUGAUUCUGUGUCUUAGUCCUCAUGGACCAGGAGGUCAAGCAGCACACUGAGCUCCACAACACCACUGACGUUAAGCGGCUGUUGGCCACUUUCUUUUCCUGGUAUUAGAGAGAGGAUUGAACUGAGCUGUGGCUGUUUCACAUAACUCUAGCUGAAAGGAUAUCUCCACAGUAAUAAAACCUUAACUGCCCCAGCCAUUAAA
This is a long non-coding RNA of Pogoniulus pusillus (Red-fronted tinkerbird), 481 nucleotides long. RefSeq lists it as uncharacterized. The transcript is spliced from 3 exons. The record is from RefSeq and is a predicted model, not a curated record. Lineage: Eukaryota; Metazoa; Chordata; Aves; Piciformes; Lybiidae.